This 922-nucleotide small RNA is filed under the name uncultured bacterium. Its description in RNAcentral is "bacterial SSU rRNA". The stretch from base 1 to 491 matches the Rfam family "Bacterial small subunit ribosomal RNA", at positions 1045 to 1533 of the family's 1533-position model. The record is from RNAcentral.
AUGGCUGUCGUCAGCUCGUGUCGUGAGAUGUUGGGUUAAGUCCCGCAACGAGCGCAACCCUUGUCCUAUGUUGCCAGCGGAUAAUGCCGGGGACUCGUAGGAGACUGCCGGGGUCAACUCGGAGGAAGGUGGGGACGACGUCAAGUCAUCAUGCCCCUUAUAUCCAGGGCUGCAAACAUGCUACAAUGGCCGGUACAGAGGGCUGCGAUACCGCGAGGUUGAGCGAAUCCCAAAAAGCCGGUCUCAGUUCGGAUUGGAGUCUGCAACUCGACUCCAUGAAGGCGGAGUCGCUAGUAAUCCCGGAUCAGCAACGCCGGGGUGAAUACGUUCCCGGGCCUUGUACACACCGCCCGUCACACCACGAAAGUUGGCAACACCCGAAGUCAGUGGCCCGACUCUUUGAGAGGGAACUGCCGAAGGUGGGGUUAGCGAUUGGGGUGAAGUCGUAACAAGGUAGCCGUACCGGAAGGUGCGGCUGGAUCACCUCCUUUCUAAGGAGCUAUUUCCGUUUCUUAUUCGGUGGAAAUCAUCGAAUCUGGACGGCAACUCCCAGUUAAUGCACUGGCUAGUUGGCCUCGUACCGCCACCGGGAUGACCCGGCCAGGGGGUGCUUGGCGUUCCGUCCUCUAUCUCGUUUUGAGGGAGUGUCCGCACAUCCCUCGGACCUUCGGCCUCUGCCCCGCCUCCACCAGGUGGGGCACGCCGCGGCCGGCAUUGGAGGCCAGCGACAGUCCCUUGAGAACUGCACAGCGAACAUGAGCAUCUUCAUCAAUAUGUCGAUGAUCUGUAUUUCCAAGCUACUAAGAGCCAACGGUGGAUGCCUUGGCGACUACUACCGAAGAAGGACGUGGGAAGCUGCGAAAUGCCACGGUGAGCUGCUGACCGAGCUACGACCCGUGGAUGUCCGAAUGGGGAAACCCGG